UACGAAGGGGGCUAGCGUUGCUCGGAAUUACUGGGCGUAAAGCGCACGUAGGCGGGUUCUUAAGUCAGGGGUGAAAUCCUGGAGCUCAACUCCAGAACUGCCUUUGAUACUGGGAAUCUCGAGUCCGGGAGAGGUGAGUGGAACUGCGAGUGUAGAGGUGAAAUUCGUAGAUAUUCGGAGGAACACCAGUGGCGAAGGCGACUUACUGGACACGUAUUGACGCUGAGGUGCGAAAGCGUGGGGAGCAAACAGG
This 253-nucleotide ribosomal RNA is filed under the name uncultured bacterium. RNAcentral describes it as "partial 16S ribosomal RNA". It matches the Rfam family "Bacterial small subunit ribosomal RNA", at positions 524 to 776 of the family's 1533-position model. The record is from RNAcentral.